RNAcentral lists this long non-coding RNA (4551 nucleotides) under Sus scrofa (pig). RNAcentral describes it as "lncRNA (ENSSSCG00005042236.1)". Lineage: Eukaryota; Metazoa; Chordata; Mammalia; Artiodactyla; Suidae. The record is from RNAcentral.
AGAUACCAUUGAUUGUAAGAUGCCUUAUUAUUUUGACAACCACUAACAUGGUUAAGCUCUGUCCAAGAAACUAUGACAUGCCAUUGAUUUUAAUAUGCAUGUUAAUUUCAGAUAUACUAAAAUGUGGAAAAAAGUGCCUCUUAAGACUAGGUGAAAUAUGGUAGUUUAUAGUUCAGUGGCUAUUAUAAAGCUGUAGCUUCACUAAAAUGUAUUAUGUUUUUAUCAAGUAGAUUUUUUUCUGUUUGAGGAGUGGUUGUUUGAAUGCUCUAUUUUCAGGAUUCUGGUAUGUUUAAAAAUAUUGGUGGCUUUCAUAAGUGAAGUUAUAUUUUGGCUGGUUAUAGAAUUUUUGAGCUAUGUUACCUUCCCCUUGAUACCCAGUAGUCAUUGUUCCAUUACCUUCUGGUGUCUAGGAUUUCUCUAGAGAAGUCUGGGGCCAGCCUGACUGUUUUUUUCCCUUUAUAGGUGACCUACUUCUGCCUGAGUAUUGGUAGAAUUCUUUCUUUAUCCUUGAAGUUCAUUAACUUCAUCAGGAUAUAGCUCGGUCUUGGUGUGAUUCUCUAUUACAUUUUCCUGGUACAUGGUAAGCCAUUUCAAUCUGCGUUCAGGAGUAUGUUCUUAUAUAUCUUACUGAUAUGCUUUCAGUUUUAUUUUUCUUUCCUGAAGGGACAUCAAUUUUAUGAUUAUUCAUCUUCAUUUCCUGUCUUUCAUUUCAGAUGCUUCUUUUGUCUUCUGCUGUGUUCUAGGUAGUUUUCUCAGUAUUAUCUUUUCAUUAAUUUGUUUUCAUCAAUAUCAGGUCCACUACUUUAUAUGAUGUAGUUUUCAUUGUGCCAGUGGCUUCAGUACUUCAUUCAUUUUUAUUUAUUUAUGUCGGUGAGCUGCCCUUUCAACUUGUCUCAUUUAUUUCCCUCUUUAAAACAGCUUUUACUUGUGGUAAAAACAGGUAAAACCACAUUGUCUUGAGAUGAGUAAAUCAGUGCUAAUACCACAGUUUAUUCUCCAAGAACACAAGUGAUUAGUGAAAUCUGUUUUAUCGUCAUGCUGUUAAAUGUGCUUUAUUAAUGGCAUGAAAUAUGAAAAAACUGUUAUUCAUUUGCAUCCUAAAGACAUUUCUUUUUGCAGUUGGGUGAGCUUUUGUGCACAGUAGAAAUCUGUUUUGCCAUGUGUGCUUUUGUGUGUAUGAGAGAUAAGUGUUCAAGAAUUUUUCUUAUUAAUCGUUGAAGAUCUGUUGAAGAUUUUUUUUUACCCAGUGUGUUUGUAAUGUAAACCAUUAAGAAAAAUUUCAUUGAGAAGGAAAAUCAUGACUGACAGAGGCUGUGUCAUCCAUGUGUGCCAUAGUAAAAGACCUGCUGUAUGAAUUUCAUAGGAGUACUAACUUGCUCUUUGCUUUAUUCUGAGGAAAUUAAGGUGAUCUAAAGUGCCCCUUGGAGUUCCCGUCAUGGUUCAGCGGUUAACGAACCUGACAUGAGGAUGUGCCAUUGAUCCCUGGCCUCUUUCAGUGGAUUAAGGAUCAGGUGUUGCCGUGAGCUGUGGUGCAGGUUGCAGAGCUCUGAAUUGGUGUAGGCUGGCAGCUGUAGCUGCUGUUGGACCCUUAGCCUGAGAACCUCUGUAUGCUGUGGGUGCACCCCUAAAAAGACAACAGACCAAAAAAAAAAAAAAGUGCCCCUUAAUCUCCAUUUGAGGUUGAAGGAAAUAGUGAAAAUUGUGAAUGUGUGUAAAAUGUGGUUACUGAGUAUGAUAUUUUCACUGUGAUUUAUUAAAAUACGUGCAAGACAUAUGUACUGUAAAGUAUCCUAACUGUUUAAUAGGGCCUAGGUUCUCCCAUGGUUUUUGUUGUUGUUUUUUUGGGGUUUUUUUUGGUACGGUGGCUGAGAUAACUGGCAUUUUUAAUGUUUUUGUUGAUGUUAACAGAGGUUAUUUUAGUUAAUCAGCAUGGCCUGAUAUGGCCAGCAGCAUACCCAGUAUUGUGAAUAACCUGAAUUUACUACUUUAUUAGAGUCUAUUCAUAGCUUAUUCUUAAAGUUGUUAGAAUUACCUAAAGGCUCUAAACUGUUAUGUUUGAUUGCCAGUAAUGUGGCAUCUUCCUGAGAUGAUGCAUAUGUUUUCACUGAUCCAUUAAUUCAACAGAUAUUUACAGAGGGCCUACUACAUGCCAGGGACUGGAACAGGUGCUGGAAUAUAUCACUAAACAAAAGUCCGUGCCCUUUUAGAGCUUUCAUUCUAGUGGGUGUAGGGGAGAUAAACAAAACUAAUAGGGAGUAUAUAAGCAUAGAGUAAUAAGCAUUAUAAAGAGUAGGGGAGGAAGUUCCCAUCCUGGCUCAGUGGUUAACGAACCCGACUAGCAUCCAUGAGGUCUUGGGUUCAAUCCCUGGCCCUGCUCAUCGGGUUAAGGAUCCGUCAUUGCUGUGAGCUGUGGCAGGCACAUCUCGGAUCCUAUGUGGCUGUGGCUUGUGGAAUAGGCCAGCGGUUAUAACUCCGAUUUGACCCCUAGCCUGGGAAUCUCCAUAUGCUGCCCUCUAAAAAGCCAGGGGGGAAAAAGAAAAAGAUUAUGGGGAUAAAAUAGGGAGGACAGUGUAAGAGUAUGGGGGUUACAAUUUAAUUAAAACAGGAUGACAUUCGUAUAAUUGAAUUAGCUAAGAAAGGGAAUCGUUCAGAGGGUCCAGCAAACAAAAGACAGAAUUGGGACAGACUUGAGCGUUGGAGGAAGAUAAGGGAAAGCAGUUAGCUGAAGCCAAGUAGUAGCAAGUAGAAGGUUGGAGAGAUGCUGGAUAAUUCUAAAGAAACUUUUAGGCCACUAUGCAGGCUAUUCAUUAAUCUGAGUCAGAACUCAAAGCCCUAGGAAUAGUGACAUGAUCUGAAUUCACAUAUCGAUAGGAUCAUUUUGGGUGCUGAAUUGACACGAGAAAGAUUUCAGAGUACCCACGUUUAUUAAAGUAAACAUUUAUAGCCGAAAUGAAAGCUCCACCAACAAUAUCUCUAUUGUAUUUUUCCUCUUAUUAGGAAGAGAAAUGCUGUUUAUGUCCCACUAGAUCUGUUUCAUGACUGCCCAACUUAGAGUUGAAAAGCACUGCUAAAUGAGAUACAACCUUCUUUCCUUGCUGGGAAGGAAGGAAAUAGUAGAACGUAGGGUGUUGUGUAAUAGAAACUUAAAAAAUCAAUGUUAUCCACAAACUUAGCUUUAAAAAAAAUCAAGUAAUUGUCAGUGAUAGAAAAGGCCUAAUCAUGAAGAGCCCCACUUCUCAGAGACACCUACUUAAAGAAAAAACCUUGUUCAGAUUUCCUGGGGCUUAACUCCAUGUUCUAAAUAAUAUGCUUAUAGUGUUUAUUUUUUGGUUUAUCAACUUGAGACAUUCUCUGUUGACUUCUUGCUAUGACAGAUGUUUUCAGUCCCACUUCUCACUACUGACCUUCCUCGUACGACGGUCACUGAACUGGCGCCUCUCUGGGGUUCUGCCCAGAAGAUUAGCCUUCCUCCUUCGCUGCACCCCCUCUGUGAGUAUUCUGCUCUUCUCCCUCCACUGUGCUUAAUCAGUUCACAUUCUUCCAUCCGUUUUUCAUCUUUUCAGAACCAUGGGCAAUCUCUAUGUUCUUUUAAAAAAAUAUUUUUAAUUAAACAUUUAUGUUAAAAUUUCUUUAGAAAAGUUUAUUUUAAGUUGUUAGGAAGGAGAAGAGAUAAUCUGGCACCUUGAAGAUUAGAAGUUUUGGCCAAAUUUUUUUGUUUUGUUUUUUUUUAAAUGUGCGUAGUGUGUUUAAGAGUUAGAUGCAUUUACAAUAUUUAAUCUUUUUUUUUUUUUUUUUUUUGUCUUUUUGCUAUUUCUUUGGGCCGCACCCGCAGCACAUGGAGGUUCCCAGGCUAGGGGUCGAAUCGGAGCCGUAGCCACCGGCCUAUGCCAGAGCCACAGCAACGUGGGAUCCGAACCGCGUCUGCAACCUACACCACAGCUCACGGCAACGCCGGAUCGUUAACCCACUGAGCAAGGGCAGGGAUCGAACCCGCAACCUCAUGGUUCCUAGUCGGAUUCGUUAACCACUGUGCCACGACGGGAACUCCUACAAUAUUUAAUCUUUUAAAAACAAAUUUUAUCUUCCAAUGUCAUUAACUACUCUUUCAAAGUGAUAUAUAGCAUUCUUUCAUAUAGGAUUCCCCCAAUUUUAGGUUAUUUUUAUAUUACAAGUUAUAUAAAUUAUAACUAAUGAUCCUAUGGAUUUUCCUUAUGGAAAUAUUUACAUGUAAUCUUUAUUUCUCAGGAGUGGUCAUUGCUAAAUCAAAGAAGAUAAACAUUUUUUUGAAGCCCUUUUUUCCCCUUUCAGUUUUAUUGAGAUAUAAUUGAUAUGUAGCCCUGUGUAAGUUCAAGGCGUAUAGCAUAAUGACUUAGAUAUAUUGUGAAAUGAUUAUUACAAUGAAAAUUGUUAGGAAUUCCCUUGUGGUGUAGCCGUUUUAGGAUCUGGCAUUGUCACUGCAGUAGUUCGGAGAGCUGCUGCGGUGUUGUUGGUUUGAGCCCUGCUCUGGGAACUUCCUCUUGCCUUGGGCACAGCCAAAAAAAAAAAAAAAAA